GGGCGGUGAGGAUUCUUAGCACGGAAGGGACGAUCGGUGUUGUCACCGUCGUCUGAUAUUUCGAGCGAAAGUUGUGCACCUGAGCAC
Small nucleolar RNA from Magnolia sinica, 87 nucleotides. RefSeq annotates it as small nucleolar RNA snoR114. The record is from RefSeq and is a predicted model, not a curated record. NCBI's taxonomy places the organism in Eukaryota, Viridiplantae, Streptophyta, Magnoliopsida, Magnoliales, Magnoliaceae. The transcript has a single exon.